This 2736-nucleotide unclassified non-coding RNA is filed under the name Octopus sinensis (East Asian common octopus). Its description in RNAcentral is "zinc finger protein 260-like, transcript variant X11". The record is from RNAcentral. Lineage: Eukaryota; Metazoa; Mollusca; Cephalopoda; Octopoda; Octopodidae.
CAACAACUAUGUUGAAGAUUGUUUAUAAAUUUAUUGGGCAAAACACGAAUGUUGUUAGUAAGACGAAGUAACUCGAGAUGCCCUGAAAUAGUGGGAUUUGAGAGUGAACGAGAGGAUGUUUCCUGGGGCUAAAUAACUGUGCUACAGAGUUUUCUUUCUAUGUAAUAAUUCAUUCGGUCGCGAUUCCAAGUUUCUCACAUGAAUUUCGAAGGAGCAAUAAAUAAAUAUACAACGCAAUGCUUUAACUUUAAACAGAUACUUUCUAUUUUACUGCAUUUACUUUUACCGACGCUCUUCUACACAUAUUUUCUCUGACACAAGUUCUAAAUAUCUACUAUAUAGAACUCUCUAUUGGUUAGAGGUAGGGUUUACCACACAAGUACUGACGCUUUCGAUAUGUCAACUUCAGUCAUUUCUGUAUUUAUAAAUUGAAUAGCUAUUUUAUUUUUUGUUUACAUAUAUUUAUACUUUGUUAGUAAUUAACUGCUGUGAUUAACUUAAGAGAUUGUUGAUUAACCAAACAAAGACAAUAGAAAUAUCUUGUAAGAAGUAGUUGAAAGUUCUGUCCAUUAAUUUCAAGUUUUGCCACUUCAGUACAUCUUUAUUUCAUGUUAUAACUACAUUGUUUUGUUAUCUGCUGAUAUUGAGAUAAAAAUCUUUCACUAAUGACGAUCAACAUAUUUAUCAACAUAUGAAAACUGAUGUUAGCUGUAUUUGCAGUGUUUGAUUGAAUGUAUGUCACAUUGUUUGCAAAAAUUCUUACACAAAUGUGUAACAAUUAAACUUGGAAGAUUAACCAUAAAAUUUUAGCUGUAUGUACUUUCGUAGCUGUACUUCUUAAUUGAAGCAAAUUUCACAAUCCUAUAGUUACAAAAUAAAUCCACUUGAAGUUUCUUAAUAAAAACCACCAUGCUUUAAACACAACCAUCACAAAAAGAACAUAUAGAUUAAAACAAAGUUAUGAAUAAGAAAGUAGUAACCUCACAGACACAGAAAAAUAUGGAAGAAAAAUCACAUCCUUGUGAUAUAUGUGGCAAGUUAUACAUAACUAGAAAGAAUUUAAUGCAACAUAAAUUAAGCCACUCAGUCUCCAAGUUGUACCACUGUGAAGUCUGCGAUAAAAGAUUUACUAGAAACAGUUUGUUAACACGCCACAAACGUAUUCACACAGGAGAGAGACCAUAUCAUUGUGAUAUCUGUGGCGAAAGAUUUUCUAGAAGUGGCAAUUUGUCUCGACACAAACAUAUUCACACAGGAGAGAAACCAUACCACUGUGAUAUUUGUGGUAAAACAUUCUCUGAUAGUGGUAUAUUGUCUUCCCAUAAACGUGUUCAUACAGGAGAGAAACCAUAUCCCUGUAAUAUUUGUGGUAAAACAUUCUCUCAGAGUAAUGUCCUAUCUACCCACAAACGUAUCCAUACUGGAGAGAAGCCAUACCUUUGCAAUAUUUGUGGUAAAACAUUUUCCCAAAGUGGUAGUUUGUCUUCCCACAAACAUAUUCACACAGGAGAGAAACCCUAUCAGUGUAAUAUUUGUGGUAAAACAUUCUCUAGAAGCAGUAACCUAUAUGCUCACAAACGUAAUCACACUGGUGAUAACCCAUAUAAAUGUGAUGUUUGUGGCAACACAUUUUCUCUAAGUCGUGACUUAUCUUCCCACAAACGUAUUCACACAGGAGAGAAACCAUAUCACUGUGAUAUCUGUGGUAAAACAUUCUCUCAAAGUGGUAAUUUAUCUCAACACAAGCAUAUCCACUCAGGGGAGAAACCAUACCAUUGUAAUAUUUGUGGUAAAACAUUCUCUCAGAAAGGUAAUUUAUAUCAACACAAACUUAUCCACACAGGAGAGAAACCAUACCACUGUGAUAUCUGUGGUAAAAGAUUCUCUCAGAAAGCUAUUUUAUCUAAACACAAACGUAUUCAUACAGGUGAGAAACCAUAUGAGUGUGAUAUCUGUAGUAAAGCAUUCUCUAACAAUAGUAGUGUGUCUCGACACAAACGUAUUCACACAGGAGAGAAACCAUUCUACUGUGAUAUAUGUGGUAAAACUUUCACUCGGAGUAGUAGUUUAGCAACCCAUCAAUAUGUUCACAUUGGAGAGAAACCAUAUCACUGUGAUAUCUGUGGUCAAACAUUUUCUACAAAUAGAAAUAUAUUAAGUCACAAACGUAUCCACACAGGUGAAAAACCAUAUCACUGUCAUAUCUGUGGCAAAACAUUCUCUAACAGUGGUACUUUAUCUCGACAUAAGCAUAUUCAUACGUGAGAGAAAUAUACAACCAAUUUUACAGUAUAUUUUCUGGAAAUGAUUAAUUAUCUAGACCAUGUUAUGUUAAAUCAAGAAGAAAUCACUGUGAUAUUUGAGGUUAUCUGAUAAUACUGAUAUCUGACACAAGACACAUCAACUGACUAAUGAAGAAUAUGAAAGACUGAAGAAUGACUUCAUGAAGUUAACAUGAGACAGAGGUUAUCUUACUUCUCUGAAAUUUUAAAAAGUUGAUUGGAAAUAUGUCUUGUCUUGAUUUUUUUUUGUGGUUGAACUCAAGAAAUUUAAUAGAAAACAUUACCAACCUUAUAUUUAAUGCAUAAGAUAUCUGGAUAUAUUUUGAAAAUUGGAUUGAUUGAAUACAAUCAUGUUUGACAGGAUAACAUUUAAUUCAAAAAUUAAAAUCAACAAGUAUGGUAUUUAUCUGAAAAGAGUAUGAAAAAUGUUUAUAUGUAAGAGACAUAGCUAAAA